Long non-coding RNA from Dermacentor albipictus, 907 nucleotides. RefSeq lists it as uncharacterized. The record is from RefSeq and is a predicted model, not a curated record. Lineage: Eukaryota; Metazoa; Arthropoda; Arachnida; Ixodida; Ixodidae.
GCAGCGAAACAACAAAAUGUGAGCCCGCAUUUGUGUUCGACUAUUUGUUUCCAUGUGGUUAUUUGUAUUUCAUAUUGCUCUUCUUAGUCGUGGUUAUGAAGGGUGAUAGUGUCCGUGUGUGUAUUGUGAUCUAGCUGGAUUGACUUCGAAUUGACUUCGAGACAACGGAUUGAGUGGCCGAUGUGCAGCUUUGUUUACCUUCAAGAUCGAGUGCGGUUGAAAGCUUUCUGAAAGCUUCCUGAAAAAUCUCUGAAAGCAACAACAGGACAAAAAAUUGGGUUGGUUGGCUGGACUGAACUUAGCGCGCGAACGCGCUAUGUAUAUAAAAUUGUUGGCAUUCUCCUGAAGGAUCUGCACCUUGAAAAGACCAGCUGAUAAAAAAAUCUACGUCUAUUCUGCACAAUGAGGCUUGUGGACCACCUAAAAGCACCGAUGUAUACUGUGCCUGCCUCUUGAAAUUGCACCAUCUCGUUUUCCUGAACUAACCUAGGUGCUGCAAAAGUACUUGAAUAAUCUACGCGGUAAUUAGUCUGUGCUUAUUUUCACAAAUUGUUUAAUAAUGCUGAUGUUAUGUCUCGCCUCAUUGACAAAAUGGUGAAAUGGACACCGUGUCAUUUAGAACAUCAAACAUGAAACAGCUACGCCAUUACGAAACCAAAUUCACACUUUAUUCCUCGUCAACAACCAUAUGUCCUUACUUUGAGGAGCAUAGUCAUGAUUAUGAUGUGCGAAGUGAUGAGUUCACCAUAAUGUGUUACUGUAGAGACGCGAGCUUUUUCAUGCCCACAAUUUGUAAUAGAGCCAUUCGGUAGCAUUUGUAGCCAGGACUUUACUAUUUAGUGGUAUGCUGAAGCUACUUUCGCAAGAACAAGUGUAUAUAAUCAAAUAUACCAUAAUUUUGAUUGUU